This 408-nucleotide ribosomal RNA is filed under the name Ternatus siculus. RNAcentral's name for it is "partial 16S ribosomal RNA". It matches the Rfam family "Bacterial large subunit ribosomal RNA", at positions 1842 to 2580 of the family's 2925-position model. Lineage: Eukaryota; Metazoa; Arthropoda; Arachnida; Araneae; Linyphiidae. The record is from RNAcentral.
AUUACUAUAAGUAAGAUCUGCUCCAUGAAUUUAAAUAGCCGCAGAAUUUUAACUGUGCUAAGGUAGCAUAAUCAUUUACCUUUUAAUUAAAGGUUUGCAUGAACGAUUUAACAAUUAAAUUAUUUUUUUAUAAACAUUUAUCUAACCUAAAUUAAAAAUAAAAAUGUUUUUAUAACCAAGAAAGACGAUAAGACCCUAUUGAACUUUACUAAUGUUCAGCUGGGGAAGCUAAUUAAAUAUAAUUUUAAUUUUUAAUUUCUAAUAAAUUUCUAAUAUAAUUAAUUUAACCAAGUUACCAUAGGGAUAACAGCGUAAUAUAAUUUUAAAGCUCAUAUUAAAAAUUAAGAUUACGACCUCGAUGUUGAAUUAGAAUUUCUAUAAAGCGCAAUAGCUAAAAAGAGGGUCUGU